CCUACGGGUGACAGCAGUGGGGAAUAUUGCACAAUGGGGGAAACCCUGAUGCAGCGACGUCGCGUGAGUGAAGACGUAUUUCGGUAUGUAAAGCUCUAUCAGCAGGGAAGCAAAUGACGGUACCUGACUCAGAAGCCCCGGCUAACUACGUGCCAGCAGCCGCGGUAAUACGUAGGGGGCAAGCGUUAUCCGGAUUUACUGGGUGUAAAGGGGGCGUAGACGGCGGAACAAGUCAGAAGUGAAAACCCCGGGCUCAAACCUGGGAGUGCUUUUGAAAAUGUUUGGCUGGAGUGCAGGAGAGGUAAGCGGAAUGCCUAGUGUAGCGGUGAAAUGCGUAGAUAUUAGGAAGAACACCAGUGGCGAAGGCGGCUUACUGGACUGUAACUGACGUUGAAGCUCGAAAGCGUGGGGAGCAAACAGGAUUAGAUACCCCUGUAGUC
This 440-nucleotide ribosomal RNA is filed under the name uncultured bacterium. Its description in RNAcentral is "partial 16S ribosomal RNA". It matches the Rfam family "Bacterial small subunit ribosomal RNA", at positions 338 to 795 of the family's 1533-position model. The record is from RNAcentral.